Molecule: long non-coding RNA, 327 nt
Filed under: Apteryx haastii (Great spotted kiwi)
Lineage: Eukaryota; Metazoa; Chordata; Aves; Apterygiformes; Apterygidae
Description: lncRNA (ENSAHAG00000011337.1)
Source: RNAcentral
GGAGGAGAGGGGCGCGGGGGAGGGGCGCGCGGCUGACGUCAGCAGAGAGUGCGUUUAAGCAUGUUUGAUGUCAUUGUUGACGUUCCUAGGGAGGAGCUGCUUAGGAUACCCUUCAUCAUGCCAGAAAUUCAGAACGUGACUUCACCUUCAAGACCCUGUCCAGGCUAUGGAGGCAGUGACAGUGGGGUUCUUCGUGGGAACACCGUGAGCACCUCUUCUUUCCCCUGCUCCUUGCAACCUCUUCUGACUCUUCGGUCACUGAAGCUGCAGUUUCAAAUAACCAAAGGAAGCUGUGAGGAUCAUGGCAGAGGAGAUGACAGCAGUUGA